Molecule: non-coding RNA, 242 nt
Filed under: Lactobacillus apis
Lineage: Bacteria; Bacillati; Bacillota; Bacilli; Lactobacillales; Lactobacillaceae
Description: T-box sequence
Rfam family: T-box leader
About the family: Uncharged tRNA acts as the effector for transcription antitermination of genes in the T-box leader family. T-boxes are found upstream of many aminoacyl-tRNA synthetase genes and some amino acid biosynthetic genes usually in Gram-positive bacteria. The anticodon of a specific tRNA base pairs to a specifier sequence within the T-box motif, and the NCCA acceptor tail of the tRNA base pairs to a conserved bulge in the T-box antiterminator hairpin.
Source: RNAcentral
UUAAAUGCGAUGAAAAAGACGAGUAAAUAAUUUAUCUCUUUAAGUGAACUAGUGAUAGUGCGAAACUAGUAGACCCUGAAUUAUCGAAAAACACUUUGAGCUGCACACUGAAAUGAUUCCAAAGUAGGUGGCGCCGUCUCCAGUACGUUACCACGCUGGUGAAGCAUGAUUGUGCUUCAUGAGUUGGUCCGAAUUUCGGACAAUCUAGGUGGUACCGCGGAAAAAAGCCUUUCGUCCUUGUU